This 253-nucleotide ribosomal RNA is filed under the name uncultured bacterium. Its description in RNAcentral is "partial 16S ribosomal RNA". It matches the Rfam family "Bacterial small subunit ribosomal RNA", at positions 524 to 776 of the family's 1533-position model. The record is from RNAcentral.
CACGUAGGGCGCGAGCGUUGUCCGGAAUUAUUGGGCGUAAAGAGCUCGUAGGCGGCCUGUUGCGUCCGCUGUGAAAGCCCGGGGCUUAACCCCGGGUCUGCAGUGGAUACGGGCAGGCUAGAGGUAGGUAGGGGAGAAUGGAAUUCCCGGUGUAGCGGUGAAAUGCGCAGAUAUCGGGAGGAACACCGGUGGCGAAGGCGGUUCUCUGGGCCGAUACUGACACUGAGAAGCGAAAGCGUGGGGAGCGAACAGG